GGGUAAUAGAAUAUAGUGAAAUAGACAUUUAAUAGAAAAAUAGACUGAAAAUUUCAUUACGCUCCCAUACAAUCCACCCAGAAUGAAAUUAAUAUCUAUCCAAAAUGUUUGGGCUGAUUUUUGCAGAUAAUUGCUAGUGCAAUAGCCAUUGGAGUCAUCCUUCACGCAGGAAACCAUUUACUUUGUGACUUUCCCCGUCUGAUAUACUCGUCUCCGGAGAAAUUUUCCUUGAUAGCAUCUGAUUUCCAUAACAAGAAGCCCACAUAUGAAUAUCUACUGACUGGUGUUGAAGGUGUUACUGGGAUUGCUAUGGUGGUACUAAUGGUCAUAGCAUUCACGCUAGCAACAAGCCAGUUCCGAAGGAAUGUGGUCAAACUGCCAGCGCCCUUCAACAGAUUGACAGGUUUCAAUGCAUUCUGGUACUCUCAUCAUCUUCUUGGUCUCGUCUAUGUUUUGCUGCUUGUCCAUGGGACCUUCCUAUUCUUAGCCCACAAUUGGAGUCAGAAAACAGUAAGAACUUUGGUUUCAUACUCUAUUAUGAGUAUGGUACAAGAAUCAAUAACCCGAAACUAAAAUUGAGUGCAUUUUCAAUGUUUCAGACGUGGCUGUAUGUCUCUGCUCCCCUGUUACUCUAUGUUGCAGAACGGAGUGUGCGAACAUGUAGGUCAGAGCAUUACUCGGUAAAAAUAUUGAAGGUAUAUAUAAAUUACUUGAUUCCUAGUAUUGCCAGAUGGUUUAUUCAUUUGCAAGAAUGAAAACCUAUCAUAGUCUAAUAUGAGCUAUUUGAUCUCCGUAGGUAUCUGUUCUACCAGGAAAUGUCUUCAGCUUAAUCAUGUCCAAGCCACAAGGAUUCAAGUACAAAAGUGGGCAGUACAUAUUUCUACAAUGUCCUGCAAUUUCUUCCUUUGAAUGGUGAGAAUUCUGAAAGAAAGUCAUCUUCUUUUCAAGGCCUUUACAUUGUAUUUGAUACAAUCAUCAUUAUGAAAUCUCGAAGCUUUUCUGCACAAAAGUAACCACUUAUCCUUCGCAGGCACCCGUUUUCAAUAACCUCGGCACCAGGAGAUGACUAUCUCAGUGUUCACAUUCGGAUAGUGGGAGAUUGGACACAGGAGUUGAAGAAAGUUUUCACCGAGGUAAAUGAUUCACCAUCUGUUAUUGGUCGAGCCAUGUUUGGUCAACUUGGACAUGUGGAUCAAAGAGGGUAAUUACAUGCUAAUAAACUUAACAGUCUUGUAUUUGUUUUCAAAUAAUCAAUGGAAAUUUUCUAAGUAAAAAUUGUAAACUGAUGCAGCCAACCGAAACUAUGUGUUGAUGGUCCAUAUGGGGCUCCAGCGCAAGACUAUCAAAAUUACGAUGUCUUGCUCCUCGUGGGACUCGGAAUUGGAGCUACACCUUUCAUAAGCAUCCUUAGAGAUCUUUUAAAUAACACGAGAGCAGCAGAUUAUCAAACAGUAAGUUUCACUCUCUAAAAUGAUACCUUUCGAAAUUCCUAGUUUUACUACAUAGACCUUAAUUGAUUUCCAUAUGUUAAUGGCCUAGGAUUACACUGAAACCAGUAGAUCAGACGACAGCUCAAACAGUUGUGCAUCUUCAACCGUGACACCAGGUAGCAAAAGGAAAACGCACAGAACUACAAAUGCUCAUUUCUACUGGGUUACAAGAGAACCCGGGUCAUUUGAAUGGUUUAAAGGAGUCAUGGAUGAUGUUGCAGACAUGGAUCACAAGGUAAAAUGUAAAAAUUUAUAUCAAUGUUUGAUAUUGUUGAAUUCAAGAUAAGCUGCAAAAGUGAGGAGUCAUUCUUUUCUUCUCUCUUGCUUUCUACACUAUGAAACAGGGUCAAAUUGAACUGCAUAAUUACCUUACAAGUGUUUACGAAGAAGGUGAUGCAAGGUCAACUUUGAUCACCAUGGUCCAAGCUCUCAACCAUGCCAAACAUGGUGUUGACAUCCUUUCUGGCACUCGAGUAUGAUUUCCCAUAAAAGUCCAGUUUUACAUUGUUAGAAUCAAUAACCGAGAAAACAAUAUUGAGGGCACCGCAGCAGAAAAGAGAGAGAGAGUUUUACCUUUUCCUUAUGAUAGGAUUAAUGCAUCUGAGAUAUAUCUCCCUGAUCAACUUUGCUUUAUUGCAGGUAAGGACACACUUUGCUAGGCCAAAUUGGAAAGAAGUGUUCACAAAAGUAGCUAAAAAGCAUCCAUUUGCCACAGUAGGUAAAGAAAAACAUAAAAUUAUCAAAGACUACCUGCAUUUGUUGAUUAGCAUAGCAAAAUUCAUCAAAUAAAAAACGAUGACAUUAUCAAUCAUCUAGCAAUCUCUGGGUGAAAAGACAAGUUUAACAUAAUGGAGGCUUAUGAAAAUUGCAGGAGUAUUCUAUUGCGGGAUGCCAGUGUUGGCAAAGGAGCUGAAGAAACUAUGUCAAGAGCUGAGUCACAAGACAUCCACAAGGUUCGAGUUCCACAAGGAACAUUUCUGAAACAAGAGGGAAAAUUAUUUCAAAUGUCAAGCUGCUGUUAUUAUUUUGUAAUUAUUAAAAUAAUUGAGAUAAAAAAAUAUAUAUACAUGCACACAUCUUAUAUUUGUAGCACAACUAAAUGUAAAUGCUUUUAUACACCAUUCAUCCAACAAUCCAGUCCAACAUGAUGGACAAUGGAGAACUUCAAAAUGCACGCAAAGAAAAGAAAAGGGAAUUUUAUAGAAUUUCAGUUUUUGAACAUUUUCUGUGUUCCAUCUUGACAACGGACAGCUAUUUGUUUGUGUAUCAGCCCAAGCCAAAGGUUGUACUGAUAAGGUCAUUUAGAUUAUUUAUAGAAAUGAGCUAUCCAUAGGGACCAUGGCAGCUAUUGAUAUUAAACUAUUUCCAACUCCAAAGGAGAAAGGAUCUUAUGUUGGCUUUGGUGAUGUGCCCCUAAGCCUCUGGAGCUGCAGACAAUUUCCCUAUUUGAAUCUCAUUAAGUGUGUGCAAUG
Molecule: unclassified non-coding RNA, 2962 nt
Filed under: Hevea brasiliensis (rubber tree)
Lineage: Eukaryota; Viridiplantae; Streptophyta; Magnoliopsida; Malpighiales; Euphorbiaceae
Source: RNAcentral